CCCUUAGAUGUUCUGGGCCGCACGCGUGCUACACUGAGUGGAUCAGCGGGUCAGGUUGCGCGAAAGCGUUUCCUAAUCUUGAAAUCCGCUCGUGAUGGGGAUUGACGGUUGCAAUUUUCUGUCAUGAACGAGGAAUACCUUGUAAGCGCGAGUCAUCAUCCCGCGCUGAAUACGUCCCUGCCCUUUGUACACACCGCCCGUCGCUCCUACCGAUUGGGUGUGCUGGUGAAAUGUUCGGAUCGGCCGUUUGUCGCGGUUUCCGCGUCAUGUGGCUGAGAAGUUCAUUAAACCCUCCCACCUAGAGGAAGGAGAAGUCGUAACA
This 322-nucleotide ribosomal RNA is filed under the name uncultured eukaryote. RNAcentral describes it as "partial 18S ribosomal RNA". It matches the Rfam family "Eukaryotic small subunit ribosomal RNA", at positions 1470 to 1796 of the family's 1831-position model. The record is from RNAcentral.